UACGUAGGGUGCAAGCGUUGUCCGGAAUUAUUGGGCGUAAAGAGCUCGUAGGCGGUUUGUCGCGUCGGCUGUGAAAACCUGGGGCUCAACCCCGGGCCUGCAGCCGAUACGGGCAAACUAGAAUUCGGUAGGGGAGACUGGAAUUCCUGGUGUAGCGGUGAAAUGCGCAGAUAUCAGGAGGAACACCGGUGGCGAAGGCGGUUCUCUGGGCCUGUACUGACGCUGAGGAGCGAAAGCGUGGGGAGCGAACAGG
RNAcentral lists this ribosomal RNA (253 nucleotides) under uncultured bacterium. RNAcentral's name for it is "partial 16S ribosomal RNA". It matches the Rfam family "Bacterial small subunit ribosomal RNA", at positions 524 to 776 of the family's 1533-position model. The record is from RNAcentral.